AGAAUCAACGCUGGCGGCGUGCCUAACACAUGCAAGUCGAACGAGAAAGGGUAGCAAUACCUGAGUAAAGUGGCGCACGGGUGAGUAACACGUGACUAACCUACCCUGGAGUGGGGGAUAACUGAGGGAAACCUUAGCUAAUACCGCAUAAUACCUACGGGUCAAAGGAGCAAUUCGCUUCAGGAGGGGGUCGCGGCCGAUUAGUUAGUUGGCGGGGUAAUGGCCCACCAAGACGAUGAUCGGUAUCCGGCCUGAGAGGGCGCACGGACACACUGGAACUGAAACACGGUCCAGACUCCUACGGGAGGCAGCAGUGGGGAAUUUUGCGCAAUGGGGGGAACCCUGACGCAGCAACGCCGCGUGGAGGAUGAAGUCCUUCGGGACGUAAACUCCUUUCGAUCGGGACGAUUAUGACGGUACCGGAAGAAGAAGCCCCGGCUAACUUCGCGCCAGCAGCCGC
Molecule: ribosomal RNA, 460 nt
Filed under: uncultured bacterium
Lineage: Bacteria
Description: SSU rRNA
Rfam family: Bacterial small subunit ribosomal RNA
Source: RNAcentral